GUUUGAAGAUAAUGUGUCUCGAGUAUAAUUUCAAAUGUUUGUAACGACCCUGGGUUUAUAAGCGCGGAUAUCGACUCUGCCGCUUGAGCAUGCUUUUGCGGCACAGUCGAUAGCGCGCUGGACUUCGGGCUAGAAGGUCAAGGGUUCGAGACCUGCUCCCUCCCUGUUUCAUUACAUUGGUGUCAGAAGUGGGAUCGGACCUUGCAUCCACGACAGUGCGUAUGCUUGGCCGGUGAGCAUGUUCCUAUAAGACUGUAACGACCUUGGGUUUAUAAGCGUGGAUAUCGACUCUGCCGCUCCAGCAUGCUGGAGCGGCACAGUCGAUAGCGCGCUGGACUUCGGGCUAGAAGGUUGAGGGUUCGAGACCUGCUCUCUGCCAGUUUCAUUACACUGGUGUCUAGUGUAACGACCCUGGGUUUAUAAGCGUGGAUAUCGACUCUGCCGCUCCAGCAUGCUUUUGCGGCACAGACGAUAGCGCGCUGGACUUCGGGCUAGAAGGUCAAGGGUUCGAGACCUGCUCCCUGCUGUUUCAUUACAAGACGUUGAGUCGCAAGCUAGCGCGAGGGGCUAGUGCUCUGCCAUAGUUGAAUUUGAACUUUUAGAUUUGUAUCAUUUUACUUCAGAUUUUUAUGAUUAACCACAGGACAAUGAUUUAGAGAAACGAAAACGUUAUUAUUGAAAUUAAACUUCCACGAAAAUGUGCAUAUAUAAAUAUCGGUAGAAAUGGCAGGAUAAAUUGUAAGCUUCCCCAAACUUGAAACUCAUGAGCCGCCUAAAUGCGUGCAAGCGCGUGAACACAUAGGACGUCUUGUGAAAGAAACGGGCCCACCUCAAAUACUCCUCCAACUUGUCUUGUUUUGUACGCUUUGUACAAAAUAAUAAAACGCAGAACUACAGGAUGUUUCUUAACAUAACUCUUUAUUAAUUAACUAGCUACAACUGCAUGUUCGCCUAUCUCCAACCACGAUCAACUGACCAUGGCCUAACCGUCUGGGUGGUCUUAACCAAUCACCGCACAGUAGGAUACGGCGGUAAAAUGCAUCCAAUUAUAAUUCGGUAUGUAUUCACAUAUGAAUAUUACAUCCCCCUUCUUUUAAAACAAAAUACAAAUGUUUUACAUAUUCUAAGCUUUUCUUUUGAAUACAUGCUCUGUAGUUUGAACAAAAGGUAAGUAACCAUUUAUAUUGCAUAAUACACCAACUGAAUCAACAUAGACUCUGAAACAAUGAUCCAACAUACUGUUACUUUUCAAACAAGGGAUUCUCAGCAACUCAGCUUUCACUGUAGAAAUGACAUCUUAACAUUUCAAACAAAUACAAUACCAAAGCAUGUCAAGUGAACUUUCAAUAACAAGUUUACAGUCUGGAACUCUUUUAGGGCAGCGAUCCGCCUACACCCUUUGACAUUUCACAGGUCGAGGACAGCUCUGGGCUUGACCUCUCUUCCUGACCUUGUGCGAUAUGAUGUUGAGCAUGCUUCUGUGUCAGUCAACAGCUCUUGUGGUGUUGCAGUAAGUGACGACGAUUGCGGCGGUACACUGCUCCUUCUGCUGUGCGGACGUGAUAUGAACGUUCAGUGUCAGCUGGGUGGAUGACGACUGCUGGUUUCCAGAGGCCAUGCUCCUGGAUUCUAACUGACUCUCCGUCGAUCAGUGGUGGCAGUGGUCUAGCUGACCUGCCGUAGUAUCGCUUUUGUUGUUGUUGUCUCUGUGCACGUUUUUCAUGCAUUUCCUUGUAGCUGACGACCUCAGGUUGCAGCUGCUGGUUGGUGCUGGGAAGGGUUGAGCGAAGUCUGCGGCUCAUCAACAGCUGGGCUGGUGAUUUGAAGUUGUCAACUGGAGUGUUGCGGUAUUCAAGGAGACUGAGGUAGGGGUCUCUCUUGUCUGCUUUUGCUUUGUCCAUGAGUGAUUUAACAAUCUGCACAGAUUUUUCAGCAAGGCCAUUACUUUGAGGGUAAUGUGGGCUUGUGGUGACAUGUGUGAACUCCCAUGCUUUUGUGAAGGAUUCAAACUCAUUUGAUUUGUAACAGGGCCCAUUGUCAGAUAUUAAAGUCUCUACAAUGCCAUGCCUGGCAAAGGCUGCUUUCAGCUUGUGUAUCACAGCUGCAGAUGUGGUGCUGUGAAGCUUGUCGAGUUCGAAGUAUCUGCUGUAGUAGUCCACUGUUACGAUGUAGUCCUCGUUGUUCCAGGUGAACAGAUCGGUUGCCACGACCUGCCAGAGUCGGUCUGGGAUACAGUGAGGUAACAUGGGCUCUUUGGUGUUUGAGGGGCAUCUUUCAAGACAGAUGGUGCAUCUACCAACAAUGUCCUCUAUUUGUUUGCACAUUCCAGGCCAAAACAAAAUGUCCCGUGCUCUCUGUUUGCACUUUUCCAUGCCCAUGUGUCCAGCAUGGAUCUUUGUCAAAAUCUCUUCUCUGAG
RNAcentral lists this long non-coding RNA (2417 nucleotides) under Salmo salar (Atlantic salmon). RNAcentral's name for it is "lncRNA (ENSSSAG00000044407.2)". The record is from RNAcentral. Lineage: Eukaryota; Metazoa; Chordata; Actinopteri; Salmoniformes; Salmonidae.